GGAGAGAUGGCUCAGUGGUUAAGAGUACCCGAAUGUUCUUCUGAAGGUCCUGAGUUCAAAUCCCAGCAACCACA
Molecule: transfer RNA, 74 nt
Filed under: Mus musculus (house mouse)
Lineage: Eukaryota; Metazoa; Chordata; Mammalia; Rodentia; Muridae
Description: tRNA-Asn
Source: RNAcentral